Molecule: ribosomal RNA, 206 nt
Filed under: uncultured bacterium
Lineage: Bacteria
Description: partial 16S ribosomal RNA
Rfam family: Bacterial small subunit ribosomal RNA
Source: RNAcentral
GGAUCGCAGGCUGCAACCCGCCUGCGUGAAGUUGGAAUCGCUAGUAAUCGCGGAUCAGCAUGCCGCGGUGAAUACGUUCCCGGGCCUCGUACACACCGCCCGUCACACCAUGAGAGUCGGGAACACCCGAAGUCCGUAGCCUAACCGCAAGGGGGGCGCGGCCGAAGGUGGGUUCGAUAAUUGGGGUGAAGUCGUAACAAGGUAGC